GGGAGGGAGUGACUGGUGACAGAGGGAGGGAGUGACUGGUGACAGAGGGAGGGAGUGACUAGUGACAGAGAGAGGGAAGGGGUGACUGUCACUAGUCACCCCCUCACUCUGUCACUAGUCACCCCCUCUGUCCCUAGUCACUCCCUUCCUCACUCUGUCACUAGUCACCCCAUCCCUCUCUCUGUCACUAGUCACCCCAUCCCUCUCUCUGUCACUAGUCACCCCAUCCC
Molecule: non-coding RNA, 230 nt
Organism: Pelobates cultripes (western spadefoot toad)
Lineage: Eukaryota; Metazoa; Chordata; Amphibia; Anura; Pelobatidae
Source: the annotation of a GenBank genome assembly